This 29-nucleotide small RNA is filed under the name Bombyx mori (domestic silkworm). Its description in RNAcentral is "ovarian small RNA-25321". The record is from RNAcentral. Lineage: Eukaryota; Metazoa; Arthropoda; Insecta; Lepidoptera; Bombycidae.
UCACGUCCUCGAACCUGGCCUAAGCUGGC